AUUAGAUGAGCCUAUAUUAGAUUAGCUAGUUGGUGGAGUAAUAGCCUACCAAGGCAACGAUCUAUAGCUGAUCUGAGAGGAUGAUCAGCCACACUGGAACUGAGAUACGGUCCAGACUCCUACGGGAGGCAGCAGUGGGGAAUAUUGGACAAUGGGCGAAAGCCUGAUCCAGCUAUGCCGCAUGAGUGAAGAAGGCCUUUGGGUUGUAAAGCUCUUUUAGUGAGGAAGAUAAUGACGGUACUCACAGAAGAAGUCCUGGCUAACUCCGUGCCAGCAGCCGCGGUAAUACGGAGAGGGCUAGCGUUAUUCGGAAUUAUUGGGCGUAAAGGGCGCGUAGGCUGAUUAAUAAGUUAAAAGUGAAAUCCCGAGGCUUAACCUUGGAAUUGCUUUUAAAACUAUUAAUCUAGAGAUUGAAAGAGGAUAGAGGAAUUCCUGAUGUAGAGGUAAAAUUCGUAAAUAUUAGGAGGAACACCAGUGGCGAAGGCGUCUAUCUGGUUCAAAUCUGACGCUGAGGCGCGAAGGCGUGGGGAGCAAACAGGAUUAGAUACCCUGGUAGUCCACGCUAUAAACGAUGAAUGUUAAAUAUGGGGAAG
This 593-nucleotide ribosomal RNA is filed under the name Wolbachia sp. RNAcentral's name for it is "bacterial SSU rRNA". It matches the Rfam family "Bacterial small subunit ribosomal RNA", at positions 220 to 830 of the family's 1533-position model. The record is from RNAcentral. Lineage: Bacteria; Pseudomonadati; Pseudomonadota; Alphaproteobacteria; Rickettsiales; Anaplasmataceae.